GGGGGGCAGCUCGGUGUCUGGGGGCAGCCACGCAGGGUCUCCCUACCGCCUCAGGGGCAGUUUCAGUUCCCGUCCCAGGGUGUCUGGCCGGGCAGGCCUUUGGCCUGAGUUAAGAGAUGAGCAGGGGAGCACCUCGUCUGUGAGAGAGAACCGACGGAGGCCACGUUGGAGGGAGUCGAAGUCCUCCUCCGGCAUUUAGGGAGGAAGCUCGCCAGCUUCCAACCUCACCCAGUGGCCACAGCCCGCCUUCCUCGUGGCCAGGAAUGGUGCCCACUGCUACGUGGGAGACGGGCACCCAGGCCUGAGCGACGGGAGGUAGACGGGGCCCACCGCGCCCCUGGGCUGGGUGUAUGCAGGCCCCCCAGGGACCCACCUAGGCACCCAGGCCUGAGCGACGGGAUGUAGACGGGGCUCAUCUUGACCCCGGGUUGGGUCCACUCAGGCCCUCGGGGACCCACCGAGGCACCCAGGCCUGAGUGACGGGAUGCAGAUGGGGCCCACCGCGCCCCCGGGGCUGGGUCCAUGCAGGCCCCAGGGACCCACCGAGGCACCCAGGCCUGAGCGACGGGAUGUAGAUGGGGCCCACCGCGCCCCCUGGGCUGGGUCCACGCAGGCCCCCGGGGACCCACCUGCCAGCACCCAGAGGCCCUGACCAAUGGGCCCGCAGCCCCGGGUGCAGCUGCCAAGGAGGGAGACUCCACAUCCCCACAGCUCGUUGUCACCGGCCUGCUUUCCUAGGGCCCACAAACCCACUCUGCUGUCCUGCCCACGGCCUCCCGUGGAUUCACUACACCGCCAGCUCCCUGGUUUGCCUCAGGUCAGUCCCUUCAGUGCCCGUGCCAACUGCUCCCACCCCAUCAUGGCCCUGCAUCUGGGGGCCCUCAUCGGGCUGCGGAGACCCCCCAGGUGGAGACCCCACGUGGGGACACCACACACGUUGUUGCUCACUAAGAAGCCACUGUAUUUCUCAGCAGGCAGCCUCACCUCCAGACAUUCGCUUAUCUUCUCCUUCACACGGUUCCUUCCCUGGUGAUAAUACUCUAAGUCCCGCUACUUUCCUCUUUUUCUGAAAAUUAUAUAUUUGUUAUUUAUUUUUUAAUCAAAGGGAUAACUCAUGACUGCCUAACAAACAGAUUAGAAACUCCUCUAGAAAAUCGAGUUAACCUGGUUUGUUAACUGGUCAUACCAUACGACAAAACCCAGGAAUUAACAGGCUGGAUACGUCGAGAAAGAUCCUAACUUGUCACCAUCUAGACCCCAAGGCCUGACCUCUACCGCCUACCGGCUCGUACUCACCGACCUUCGUCCCAUGUUUUGGAACGUCCCAUGUCUUGGGAAGCUCUUCUUUCCAGUUGAUCUCUUAACUCUGACAAAUGACUCAAGGAGCAUAAUAUUCUGUGGUGGAAAUGCAAACUACUCCUCGAGCAAGAACUCCCGCAGCCUGGGCCACCCCACACCUGAGUCACCCCAGCACAGAUGGACCAAGCUAGCUUUACCUCAUUAGAAUACUAGAGUCUCUGCCAAGGAGGAGCACAGGCCUCAUUUACAUAACAUACAGCGUAUCACAGACGUGUUUCCUGGGGGUGCAUGUGCAACCUCCUGCUUGCCUCUACACACCCGACAGGGCUUCCCUGCCCAAACACCCAUCCUAACUCUAAAUCAAAGAAACCCGUUCACCCUUGCUCAGGGAGUCACAGCUUUGGAAGUUAUUCCCCGUGAUCCCCUUAUUUGCUACGAAUAAAGCGUAUUUGUGCGACAACUCCACCUGAUGUGGUUUGUAUCUGCGACUCACUCAGGAGUGAACUCAUGUGACUUCGGUUACAAAUUCACUCCUAAUGACCCUUUACUGGAGCCAGAGUGACCCAGAAGGCAGUACGCGUUGUAUUCACCAGGACUAACUAGAUAGAAGGGAGUUAAUACCAACGGCAAGAUGUGGGGAAUGUUUUGGAAGUAACCGAAGAUCUAGAUCUCUCCAUGAACAAAAGCAAAGGAAAAUGGUCUCAUGAUUAAGAAACUCUGGUUCCAGUGUUUCUUGAGGAAGUGGGAUGCCGUAAAGAAAGGCCUUACAUGGCGGUUACAGGAAAUGCCCUACCUGGUCACUGGGACAAAAAGGCAACUCCUUCAAAGAAUCUGGUUCCACGAUGCCCUAGAGGGCCAAAUCUUGGGAGAAGUUCAAAGAAUUUACUAUUAAAUAUGAGGCAUUCCCUCCAGAAUUAGGGAAAAAAGCUCACUUAAUAAGGACAAUAAUCAAUACUUGUCUCAUGACAUUCACCUCAUUGCCUCACCAAUCCUCAACCAUUAUCUUAGGGACUUGCCUCACUCAGUCCAGUAACUUCUGUGCCUUUAAAGAACUGCCUUAAAGCACGUGGGUUCACACGGCAAAAUCCUAUAAAUGCUCUUUCCUUACUUUCUCUUUCUGAGUAACCACCUAGGCUUUGUCAAGGUAGCUUCCCUUGCUGGUGUAAGUUUGAUAAACCCAACUUUGCUCAACAGCUGUUUUCUGGGAUCUCCACAAAAUUCACUUAACUGGAGCCAUGAAGCAGUAUGUGGUUUCUCUAAAGCUUAUUUGCCACUAUUAACCAGAGUGUUUAAAUAAUCUGUUUCCUGGAAGUGUGUAAAGACACUCCGAGGAGUAUUUACUCUUCUAGGGCCUUUUAGUUCGAGUAAUUGGUAAGGUAAGGUAUGGAAAGAUAAUAUAUGCAAAAUGCUUAAUGCCUAAUAGAGUUCCUGGAACGACAUGGAUGUUCCAUGAAUGUUAGCUACAUUAAAAUCCCGUAAUUCCCCCAGUUCUUCUUUCCUUGGACCUCUGAGCAGACUGCAACCUGCUCAGAUGAGGGAGGAAUUCCAUUUUUUUACAUUUGCCCUCCUUAUCCCUUAAGGCAACUCUUUCUUGGGCAGAACUGAGUGCAAGGCCUCCUUUCAGGGACACUUGAUUUUUAGCAAUGGAAAGUGAAAAAUACCUUGCCCCCCAAUAAUUGAGCCCAUUUCCUUCUUUGCCAUUCGUGCCAAAUAAAUGAACAAACCUAACGAUUUCUCAAAAGCAUGUUGGAUGGGGCUGUGGCUAGAAGGGAAUCUUGAUUAAGUUAUAAGGUUAAUGAAAUUAGAAAUCUGGAGGAAACCUCGGUGUAUCUUUAAAGACAGAGCUUUGGGAUCAUGAACAUAAAAGGUCACUUAGGAAGGGGGGGGUGCCUGGGGAAGUUUCCCAUAACGUCUCAUACAUCAGAGACCAAAAGACACCAAAAACACUGCAGUAUCUGCAUCAGUUCUUAAAAUUCUCCUUUCUGAGACAGCAUAUCCUAAAUGCCAACUCUGUGUUAUUAUAAAACUCAAAUCUACUCUGAAAUUUAAAGAGGAAGCAGAUGAUGUAUAAAUGUGUGAAUAAAAUCUUCCAAGGCAGGAAAAAAAUGUUUAAAACUAAAAAAAAAAAAA
Molecule: long non-coding RNA, 3429 nt
Filed under: Canis lupus familiaris (dog)
Lineage: Eukaryota; Metazoa; Chordata; Mammalia; Carnivora; Canidae
Description: lncRNA (ENSCAFG00000058490.1)
Source: RNAcentral